CUUGACAUAUAUAAGAGGUCCAGCCUGCCCAGUGACUAAGUUCAACGGCCGCGGUAUCCUAACCGUGCGAAGGUAGCGUAAUCACUUGUUCUUUAAAUGAGGACUAGUAUGAAUGGCACCACGAGGGUUAUACUGUCUCCUUUUUUUAAUCAAUGAAACUGAUCUCCCCGUGAAGAAGCAGGGAUAAAUUUAUAAGACGAGAAGACCCUAUGGAGCUUUAAACAAUUAUAGCACUGGCCCACACCUCUUAUUCUUCUGAGAUAUAAUUAUCAUACAGGCCAACAUGACUAUUAGUUUUAGGUUGGGGUGACCGCGGAGCAAAAAUUAACCUCCACGUUGAACGGAGCUACUCCUGAGCUAAAAACUACAACUUUAAGCACCAAUAAACUGACAACAAUUGACCCAAUAUAUUGAACAACGAAC
This 423-nucleotide ribosomal RNA is filed under the name Dendropsophus cf. mathiassoni ABGD cluster 82. Its description in RNAcentral is "partial large subunit ribosomal RNA". It matches the Rfam family "Bacterial large subunit ribosomal RNA", at positions 1835 to 2457 of the family's 2925-position model. Lineage: Eukaryota; Metazoa; Chordata; Amphibia; Anura; Hylidae. The record is from RNAcentral.